Molecule: non-coding RNA, 84 nt
Organism: Paramuricea clavata
Lineage: Eukaryota; Metazoa; Cnidaria; Anthozoa; Malacalcyonacea; Plexauridae
Source: the annotation of a GenBank genome assembly
GUCAGACGUUUCGCCGGUUAGGGCUUCAUCAGUGACACAAAACUUUGUGUCACUGAUGAAGCUCUAUCAGGCGAAACGUCUGAC